UGUGCCUACGGGGGGCAGCAGUGGGGAAUAUUGCACAAUGGGGGGAACCCUGAUGCAGCGACGCCGCGUGAGUGAAGAAGUAUUUCGGUAUGUAAAGCUCUAUCAGCAGGGAAGAUAAUGACGGUACCUGACUAAGAAGCCCCGGCUAACUACGUGCCAGCAGCCGCGGUAAUACGUAGGGGGCAAGCGUUAUCCGGAUUUACUGGGUGUAAAGGGUGCGCAGGCGGUCUGUUAAGUCAGCGGUCAAAGCCCGGGGCUCAACCCCGGCCCGCCGUUGAAACUGGCAGUCUCGAGUUGGAG
RNAcentral lists this ribosomal RNA (300 nucleotides) under uncultured bacterium. RNAcentral's name for it is "bacterial SSU rRNA". It matches the Rfam family "Bacterial small subunit ribosomal RNA", at positions 334 to 652 of the family's 1533-position model. The record is from RNAcentral.